AUCCAAAACGACACCGUGGGGCUUCAAGUGCUACACAAAGACAAAUGGGUCAAUAUCCACCUCAUCCCCAAUUCAUUUCUAGCCAACAUUGGGGACCAUAUUGAGGUACAACUCCCAAAUUCUGCUUUUUUAUCUUCAAGUUUUCGAUUUACUCACACUACUUUAACUUGAUUUAAUUUCAUCUUUCUAUUUUUAUAAUAUAAUUAGUUUAUUAAGUUGUUUAACACCAUCAACUAUUUCGUUUAAAUGUUGAUGUGAAAAUUUCUCACAUCAUUAUGUUAAUAUAGAUUUAUAUAGUAGAAGGACCAAAUCCAUAAUUUGACCUUUCGUUGAAGGAUCAAAUCCAUAAUUUGACCUUUCAUUUUAUAAUUGGUUUUUAUUUUUUUCCAAAAUUGAUCUGAAGUAAAUCGUUAUUUCUGCUAAUUGAUCAGAUAUGAUUUUAAAUUUAUGCAAGAUUCUGAGCAACAGGAAGUAUAAAAGUGUUCUCCAUCGAGCUGUGGUAAAUGAUAGAGAUGUAAGGAUAUCCAUAGCACUGACGCAUGGACCGGCCUCAGACGCCACUGUGAAUCCUACUCCAAUGUUGCUGGAAGAUGGUCAGAACCCAUUGGCAUACCGAGUAAUGAAAUAUAAAGAAUACUUGGAGCUUCAACAAAGCAACAAGCUCGAUGGGAAAUCUUACUUGGAACAUAUACGAAAUAAAGGGAUUUAAUUACUAGUGUAAUAUUUUAUGUUCGAGUCAUUUGGGAUUUAAAACUUUGGCUUUUGAAUUAGAUAGUUACAAUCACUAUAAGUAGAGAAAAAAAAAUGAAUCAAGUUUGAAUAAACGAUCUUUAUUCAUGUUUACUUUGUUCCUUUUUAAAGUGGUUUAUGUUUGGUUUCUCUUCUAUAAUGGAUUGUAUUUGAUUCUUAACCAAAAGCUAAUUGUAAUAACGAAGUAUUUUUUUGACUCAAUUCAAUUUGAUUGAACGCUCACUUUUAUAUUGAUGUGCUAAAAAGAGAAACUAAAUUCUUAAAUUUUAAUGAUACAAUGUUUUUAACACAUUUAACCUAAAGCUAUUAAUGCAUUAGGUGCCAAGUUUUUUUUUUAAAUUUUAUCACGCAUUUUAAAUAGGAAUAGUUUUCAUGCACCACCAGUGAAUAAUAACAUAAUAUGUCAUCAUUGGGCAAAAUAAAAAAAUAAUAGACUUAUAAAUAAAUAAUAACUUUAUUUAAGCAUAAUUAAAUAUUAAUUAUAAGUUUUUUUAAGUUUCGAAUUUCAGGUGUAGAGUUUAUUGUAUAGGAUUUAGGUUUAUUUCAAAUUUCGAGUCUAAGCUUUGAAUUUAGGAUUUAUUGCUUAUAUCAAGUUUAGAUUUUAUGUUUAAAUAAAAUUAUUAAUGUUUAUUUUGUAAGUCAUUCAUUAUAUUUUUUCAUCAUUGAUGAGGUGUUGUGUUAUUAUUUAAUGACGAUGCAUGAGAUUCAUGAAUUGUUAAUUUAUCAAAUGUUCCUCCUUUUAAUCUAGAAAGCAUUCUACACCAUGUGGAGUUGCUUUGGAAACAGAUGGCUAGAUACGACUAGCUUGAUGAUCUAAGGGAGUGGGUCUACGAUGAUGAGACCUUUUAGAUGAAAGCUAUUAAUUUUUUCCAGUGGCUUUAUGAGGAGCAUUCGAAACCCAUGUUAGGGCUUCCUCCCUGCUUUUUUCCUAAGUUGUGUUUGGAAGACGUACAGUUUUUGGGUAUGACAAUCAUUGAUGAGGAGGUUAAGGUUGCUUUAUUUGACAUGGCACCCUUAAAAGCCCCAGAGAGUGAUGGUUUUCAUGCAUUAUUUUUCCAAAGUUAAUUGGAGCAUGUUGGUAGUUCAGUUUGUAGGUGGGUUAAAGAAUCUUCGACGAAGAAAUCAUUUAUUCAAAUCUAAACAACACUUUAGUUGUUCUUCUUCCUAAAGUUCAUGCUCCUAAAUUUUUUCCCAAUUCAGGCCUAUCAGCUUGUGUUCGGUCUUAUAUAAAUUGAUUAUGAAUGUCAUUGCUAAUUGCUUUAAAUCAGUUUUUCCAAGAAUUAUUGCGUAGGAACAAGUGUGUUUCAUAGCAGGGCAUAAUACUACCAAUAAUGUCAUUGUUACACAAGAAGUCAUCCAUUUUAUGAGGAGCAAACAAAAGAAUAGGACAUGGAUAGUUGUGAAGAUCUAUUUGGAGAAGGCGUAUGAUCUAGUUUGCUGGGAAUUUAUUGAGGUUUCUCUUAAAGCCACAUGUAUCCCUGAUCACUUCAAUAAUAUUAUUAUGUUUGCUAUCUCUAAUUCUUCUAUGCAGGUUUUUUGUAAUGGUGUUCCAUCCCCGAAAUUUAAACUGGCCAGAGGCAUUCGUCAAGGGUACCCCUUAUACCCGUAUUUAUUUGUAUUGUGUAUGGAGUGGCUAGGACACAACAUGCAUUUGACAAUUCAGAGGGGUUAGUGGUAGCCUAUCUUUUUACAGAUGACCUUAUCAUUUUUGGGAAAGCAGGCGAAAAUCCAGAUAGAUUGUUGGGGGGAAUUCUUAAAGAGUUCUGCAAUUUCUCCAAACAUCGGGUAAAUGCAAGGAAAUCUAACAUCUUCUUGUCUAAAUGUGUUAGUGAAGAGAUAGGAAAGAUCCUUAGUGACAUACUAGGGUUCAAUAGGGUGCAAAAUCUUGAAUCUUAUUUGGGGAUUCCUAUUCUUUAUGAGAGAGUAACUAAUAGUACUUUGAGAUUCGUUGUUGAUCAAGUUCGCACUAAAUUGCAAACCUAGGAAGCUAGGAAACUAUCCUUAGUAGGUAGGGCCUCUUUUGCUCAGUCUAUCUUAUUAACGAUACCAAGUUACUUCAUGCAAUCAAUGAGGAUCCCUAAAGGCCUAUGUGACGAGAUUGAGCAAUUGGUUAGACAAUUCAUUUAGGGGGCUUCUAAAAUGGAAAGGAAGAUAACGCUUGUAAGUUGGGAGUUUAUUUGUCAAAAAAGAUCCCAUGAGGGCUUUGGGUUCAGGAGUUUGGAGGACCAAAAUACUUCUUUCUUGAUGAAACUUGGUUUCAAUCUUAUUUCCAAUUUGAAUGCUUCAUGGAUUUAGGUGCUUAGAUCAAAGUAUAAAGUACCUACUGGUCUACUUGAGUCCUUAACUCAAGGGUGUCACUCUUUUCUUUGGAGAAGUCCUUCUAAAGUGUGGCCACUGGUUAGAGAAUCUUUUAUGGUCAAUUGGGGAUGGUAAUUUAAUCAAUUGUUGGAGUGACCCUUGGAUUCCAAAUUUUGGCCAUUUGUUAAAUCAUAUUCCAUCUCGUUCGAAUAUGGAAAGGGAGAACGUGUUAAGUAGUAUGGUUCUGGAGGAUAGGCAUAAUAAUCUUGAUUUAUUUCACCUAUGGGUGUCAGAGGAUGUGGUUAGGCUUAUUAUAGGUAUUCCUCCACCUCAGUCGGAAGUCGGUCUUGAUAGGAUCACUUGGGCAAGAUCCUCUAAUGGUUCUUUUUCAAUCAAAAGUGCAUUUUGGAAAAUUCGGGAAGAGACUUGGAAUCCCAAGAAUGACAUAUGGAAAUUACUUUUGAAGUUUCAAGGCCUUCAACGAGUUAGAUAUUUUAUUUGGCUCGUUCUUAAAGAACAUCUUCUAACUAAUUCUGAACGUGCGAAAAGAGGACUUGGGUUAAAUGGUUAUUGUGGUUUAUGCGACAAUGAAUGUGAAGACAUUUUACAUGCCAUUGUGACUGUCCUGCUAUUAAGGAUUCUUGGAAAUAGAUUAUUCCAGUGACCAAAUAUAAUUAUUUUUUUUCCAGGUGUUUUGCAGGAUUGGAUUUCAGCUAACCUUCAGAUCCAUCUCAAUUUGCAUCUGAACGGGAUAGACUGGCAAUGCUUCUUUGGUAUGGUAGCUUGGCGGAUUUGGAAAAGCUAGAACCUCUUUAUCUUCCAAGGCAUAACGUGAAGUACUGAGGAAUUGAUUAAAACCUCCUUCAGUUGGGCUAAACAAUACACAUCAGCUCUUAAGGUUAUCUCCAACCGUCAAGUUCCAAUAGUAGUUGUGCCAAAUAUUGGGAAUUGGAUUCAAUUGAAUUUAAUUGAAUUUUGACGAAGCAGUAAAAGAGGAAUCCAAGUUUGCCAUGAUCGGGGGAGUUCUUCAUGACAGAUAGGGCAGCUGGAUUAUUAGGUAUAACAGGGGUGUGGACAUAUGUUCAGUUCUCGACUCUGAGUUAUGGGGCAUUUUGGAAGGAUUGACAAUAGCUAUGGAUAAGGGUUUCGACAGGGUGUUAAUCGAUUCCGACAGUCAUGAGGCUGUACAAGUCAUUUAAGGGAGUACUACAAAGGUGUCAAAUUCAAAUUUGGUUAGAAUAAUUAAUCUUCGGGUGGCUAAAUUGUCUCAAUGGUCGAUUCAACAUAUUUUCAGAGAUUUCAAUAAAGGAGAAAAUAGUCUAACUAAAAUGGAUGUUGAUAAUAAGAGUAGUACCCAAUUUUUUGAAAUGCCUCCAAGGAGGGUUAGUUAUAUCUAUGAUUAAUUUUUUACAAUAAAAUUUCAUUCAAAAAAAAUCAUCCUUUUAAAUAUGCAUCAUGUUAGAUUUGAAUUGAUGCUUAAAUGCUCAAAUCUAAUAUAUCUAUUCUAUAACAAGAUUUUCUUGCACAUAUGAUUAGUUUUAGUUCGAGAGUUAGUUCUCCAAUUGCCAUGUGGGACCAAUGAAAUGUUGACAACUGUUAGUUUAGUAAUGUUUCUAAAAAACAUUUUUGGAAUAAAAAAAGUUUUUGAGAAACGCUUAAAUUUUCUACUUUUGCGUUUGAUUAGUUUUUAGCAUUUGAAAAAUAUUUUUUUUUCUCUCAAAAAAGUACUUUUUAAUAAUAUUGCUAAAUUAACCCUAUGUAAUUAAUGAUUGUUUUAUACAUUAUUAGUAUUUUAUUAAGAAAUUCCAAAAUAUGUCAAUGAUCUAAUUUGCGAAAAUAUGCAAGCAAGAAUUAUGAAAUCACAGUAAAUAUGUUUUAAAAAUUAGAAUCCAAUUUACGAAAUAAUUGCAAUUGGAACUUUAUUUUCCACAAAUUAAAACCAAAUGUGAAUUUUUAAAAAUAAAUUUGACUAUUGAAUUCAAUUAAAUGCAUAAUUGAGAGAUAUAACGAAUGGAAUUUAAUUUAUAGUGUCAAUUAAAUGCAUGAUGUCUUUGGUAUAUAAUUAAAUGCAUAAUUGAGAGAUAUAACGAAUGGAAACAAAUAAAAAUUAUUUUGAUAUCAAUUACCAAAAAUUUGGGGAUUUACUAUUAAGAUUAUCCCUUUUUUUUCGAUAUAUUUUUUGCAGAAGUUUUAAUUUAGUGUUUAUGUUUGUGGAGUGUAACUUGCAUUUUGAAUGAAAUAGGAUCAGUGACAUUAUGAGAAAGAGCCGACAUCUCGACGACGCGAUACGUAAUGUCACGACAUGGCGAUGUGUUCUCUACUUAAUCGGAUUUAUUCUCCUAGUUAAAAUCUGAUUAUUUUUUCUAGUCAAAUUCUGAUUUAUCCAAGAUGUUUUAGUUAUAUUUGACCUCCGAAUUGGCUUAUAAAAGGGCCUUAGUAACUCUAGAAAGGUUGAUGAAAAAUACAACAUAAUACAAUUAAGAAAUAGCUUUAACAAAGCUUUAAGUAAAAUUUGUGUUUUAGUCGAAGGGCUUUGUAUUUGGGGUUUAAGGUUUGUUUUUAUUAUCUCCAUCUUAUACUUUUUACAUUUCUUUCUUAUUAGUGAAAUCUCUUUUGCAUGUGGUUUUUUAUCCUCUUAAUUGAGGGUUUUCCAUGUAAAAUUUGUGUGUAUGAUUUUCUCUACAUUUUCUAUUUUAUUAUUUAUACGAGUCAAUCUCCAACAAUGUAUUAUGAAAAACCAAAAAAAUAAAAAUAAAAUUUGAAAGCCAUAAAACAUAACUUAAAACAUUCGAUGACAACGAUACCUUCGGUUUUAGCUGUACUCAACGUGAGAUGCACGGAUGGGGUCAAAUUUAUUAAAGUCAACUUAACUAAGCUAUCAAUUUUCAAAUUUAAAAGAUCAGUGGACUUGUGUCAAAUUUUUGGAUAGAUUCAAGCAUUUUUGGAUUAAAAUGUUAGCAUAGCAUUUGAAGAGCAAUUUUUUAGUUUCGAAACACACUUUGAAUCACUUAAUUUUGAAAUUAGGAGUUCAAAUUAGGAUUGUUUUAGUAAAGAUUGUGUGAACAAAAUUUUUGAAAGAGAUUAUUAUUGGAAAUUAUGAGUUUCGAAUUUUAAUUCGAGUUUAAAUUAUAUUGGGUUCAAUUUGUUAAUUUUUUAUUUUUUUAUAUAUAAGACUAAUAUUAGUUUAUUAGAUUUUGUUAUUUUAUUUAUUUAUUUCAAAUUUUAUUAAUUUAUUGGUUUAAAUUCAUUGGCUUAAUUUUUAUUAUUUUAUCAUAUAAUACAACAUUAAAUUAAAUAUUUCAAAUGUAUUUAUUUUUUUUCUUUUUCAUUUCAAUAAAUUCAGAAUUAAUUAUAAACUAUAUCUUUCCGUCAAUAAGAAAAUCGAUGGUUGGCAAAUAAAUUUUUUGAAUAAAUUAUAGGUUUUGAUUAUAUUUGACUUUUUACACAAUGCUUAGAAUUACGUAUAACUCUUCCCCAACACAUAAACAGAAGAAGAAUAAUACGCUUCGACGCACUCAAACUCAUGUCCUCCUCCAGUGAUAACAAUGUUCAUGUCAAUCGGGUUAAGACUUAAUUAACACAGUCAGCAAAUAAAUAGAUUAAUUGAAAAAAUAAAACAAUAAAUACAAUGUUUCAUAAAUUACCCUUGACUUUCUUUUUCAAAACAAUAAACAAAUUAAAUAGUAUCAACAAUUAAAGAAAUAAUAUAGCAAAUACCAUUUAUAUCAAAUUUGAUAAUAAGCAAGCCAUUAGGUACAAAUGUUUUAUACGAGAAGUCCUGCCUACAAAAAUUCAAAGAAAAAUGUUUUAUUGGUAAAUUUCUUUUUUUCAUGUUAUUUUAAGAUUUUUUUGUUUAUGUUAAUAUUUUAUGUAUUUUAAUAUUUCUAAUAUAUUUUAUAAAUUAAAGCAAAAUCCGGAGAAAUAUAUUGAAGACAUCAACUUCCAGAUUACUCCAAAAAAAAAUGUAUUUUUAUAAUAAAAACUAUUAUAAUUUCAAAAAUUAAAAAUGCUGAAGUUAAUACUACAAUUUAAUUCGAUAAAAAAUUAGUUAACAAAAGGACUUGAAAUCGUAAAUCCUCAAUCAAAAUCAAUUGAAAGUUUAGGCACCGAUUUCAAAAGUAUGCCAUGAAAGAUAUGAAAACUAACAAAAGGAAAGACAAUUAAUUCAUUUGACAUCACCCAAAAAGAAAAGAUAAAAGUUAUUAAGAAACAUGGACGAGAAUCCAUUCUCUGGCUUCAUUUGGAUGGGCGAUUGAUUAUAGUGCGAUGCGUUUAACUUACUUUUUGUCUCACGCUACAGUAUUGCUACAGUAUUUAAUCUUACCGCCACCGCUGUUUUUACACUAACUGCAGCUAAACGCACCACCCAUCCAAACUCACCCCCAGUUUGCUGUCAAGAACCAUGUUUCAGUUCUCCAGCAGACCAGUCAACUAAUUGGAAUUGUUUCCAAGUUGGUAGAGCAAGAGCGGCUCCCAUGAGGGCUAAGGGUUCAUGAUUUGAUAAACAUCUUUUACUUCAUGAAAAGAAACUGCCCAAAUACGAGUUUACGUACCAUUUAAUUUUUGGAAGACUCAUUGGUGAAUAUUUCUUGAAUAUAGAGUCUGUUCAAAUUUGAUUACCUGUUUUAAUUAUUUUUGACAUUUUCGAGCGGCAAGUUGGCUACUAACAGAAGAAAAAAGACAAAUUUGUUGUUUUGGCAUCACCCAAAAAUCAAAUUGAAUUAUUAGUAUUAAACAACACAUGAAAUGUAAACAUGCAUUUGCAUAUCCCUUCUCAGUUUUUGCAGUCAAGAAUCGUGUCUCAGCCUCUCUAUCGCCGCCCUCGGUGUUCCCACAUGGCAGCCAUUGCUCCAAUCGGUCCUCAGCUCUCACAACCAUCCCUUUCUCACCCACCGCCAUCGAAGCUAACGACCGUUAAAGCACUAUCCGAAUCGUCCGGACUUUCUUCCAUCCCUUCCAUUUACACCUUCCCAAAACAACCCAACCACGAACCAGUUUCAGACACGAAAGAACCAAUUCCCACCAUCGAUUUCUCCCUCCUCAUCUCUAGUAAUCCCGAUGAACGGUCUAAAACCAUCCGAGAACUUGGAAAAGCCUGCGGGGACUGGGGCUUCUUCAUGGUACAAUACAUAUAUACAUAUAUAUACAUAGUUAUGAUUUUCAAAGAAUUUUAGAUUUUUGAUAAAAUGAGCAUUAUCAGGUGACCAAUCAUGGGGUGCCGGAGAGGAUGAUGAAGGCAAUGAUAGAGGUUUGUAGGGAAUUUUUCGAGCUAACAGAGGAAGAAAAGGGAGAAUGUGAAGGGAAACAUGUAUUGGAUCCUAUAAGAUAUGGGACCAGUUUCAACCCAUCAGUGGAUAAAAUUUUGUAUUGGAGAGACCAUCUCAAGAUUUUUCAGCAUCCUGCCUUUCACUCACCCAGCAAUCCCCCUUCCUUCAGGUUUUUUCUUUUUAUACCAUUAGAUCGGUUUCAGAAAACAAAUUACGUAGCAUUGUUUAAUGAAAUAUUAAAGAUAACAUAUCCAUAUUUUUUCUAGUACAGUAUUAAGAGUGAAAAUGGGAGUAAACACUAUUUAAAUUGUGUCAAAAGAUCGUUCCGUUCAAAUUAAAACAAAAUAUCUUUUAUAAUUAUAAACUGUAAUAUCUGGCAUACAACUAUCAUGUAAUUUUUUUAUAAUAUUUUACAAAAGAAGUGUACAAAAAGAUGAAAUAAUUUAAUAUAAUUUUAAUUAAUAUAUACAUAUAUCUGACGAGAAAAAAAUUUUAAUAUUAAAGAUAAUAUAAUUAAAUUUCAUAAGUACGGAUCGAUAUCAUUCAUAAGUUUUUAAAUUUUUAUUUAAAAAUUAUAUUAAAAAUAGAAUUUGGACUAAUCCAUAUUUAAUAAAAUUGAACCAAAUAGGCAAGUAGAAGCCAUAUAUACAUAAUUGGAAUAAAAAUUAAGGAAAUCAUUGUACUAGAUCUCUCAAAAUAAAUAAAAUAGUUUAAUCCUUAUAUUAUUAAAAAGUGAGCAAUUUAGUUAUUGCUGCCAUUAAUUGCUCUUGUUCAUUCACUUUCUAAAUAGUACUGUGUCUGAAUUACUUAGUAAUUAUUCUAACAUAAUUCGAUAAUAACAUCCAUUAAUCAUAGCUCAUGUUCUCAUACAUAUUGGGUGUAUAUAUAUAUAUGAUAUUGAUAUAAUCAAUUCAUCUAACAUCAGUUUUGUCCCAACUUUUUAUUUUUCUUUUGGCAUAAGAGAAAUUGCGUUAGAAUACAGCAAAAGAACCCGAGGAGUAAUGAAAGAAAUAGUGAGAGGAAUAUCAGAAAGCUUGGGGUUAGAAGACAAAUACAUUGAGAAGGCCUCAAAUCUGGAAAAUUGCCUUCAGAUUAUGAUAGCAAACUUGUAUCCAUCAUGUCCACAGCCAGAACUCGCCAUGGGGUUGCCCGCUCACUCCGACCAUGGUCUUUUGACCCUUCUCAUCCAAACGACACCGUGGGGCUUCAAGUGCUACACAAAGACAAAUGGGUCAAUAUCCACCCCAUCCCCAAUUCAUUUCUAGCCAACAUUGGGGACCAUAUUGAGGUACAACUCCCAAAUUCUGCUUUUUUAUCUUCAACUUUUGGAUUUACUCACUCUACUUUUUGAUUUAAUUUCAUCUUUCUAUUUCUAGGAUAUAAUUAGUUAAUUAAGUUGUUUAACACCGUCAACUAUUUCGUUUAAAUGUUGAUUUGAAAAUUUCCCACAUCAUCAUGUUAAUAUAGAUUUAGUAUAGUAGAAGGACCAAAUCCAUUCUUUGACCUUUCAUUUUAUAAUUGGUUUUCAAUUUUUUUUCCAAAAUUGAU
This 9863-nucleotide long non-coding RNA is filed under the name Gossypium barbadense (sea-island cotton). RNAcentral describes it as "long non-coding RNA (GBAR_LNC012256)". Lineage: Eukaryota; Viridiplantae; Streptophyta; Magnoliopsida; Malvales; Malvaceae. The record is from RNAcentral.